GUGGGGAAUUUUGGACAAUGGGCGCAAGCCUGAUCCAGCCAUGCCGCGUGCAGGAUGAAGGCCUUCGGGUUGUAAACUGCUUUUGUACGGAACGAAAAGACUCUUUCUAAUAAAGAGGGUCCAUGACGGUACCGUAAGAAUAAGCACCGGCUAACUACGUGCCAGCAGCCGCGGUAAUACGUAGGGUGCGAGCGUUAAUCGGAAUUACUGGGCGUAAAGCGUGCGCAGGCGGUGAUGUAAGACAGAUGUGAAAUCCCCGGGCUAAACCUGGGAACUGCAUUUGUGACUGCAGCGCUGGAGUGCGGCAGAGGGGGAUGGAAUUCCGCGUGUAGCAGUGAAAUGCGUAGAUAUGCGGAGGAACACCGAUGGCGAAGGCAAUCCCCUGGGCCUGCACUGACGCUCAUGCACGAAAGCGUGGGGAGCAAACAGGAUUAGAAACCCUAGUAGUCC
Molecule: ribosomal RNA, 450 nt
Filed under: uncultured bacterium
Lineage: Bacteria
Description: partial 16S ribosomal RNA
Rfam family: Bacterial small subunit ribosomal RNA
Source: RNAcentral